GACGAACGCUGGCGGCGUGCUUAACACAUGCAAGUCGAACGGAAAGGCCCUGCUUUUGCGGGGUGCUCGAGUGGCGAACGGGUGAGUAACACGGGAGUAACCUGCCCUGGACUUUGGGAUAACUUCAGGAAACUGGGGCUAAUACCGGAUAGGAGCUCCUGCUGCAUGGUGGGGGUUGGAAAGUUUCGGCGGUUGGGGAUGGACUCGCGGCUUAUCAGCUUGUUGGUGGGGUAGUGGCUUACCAAGGCUUUGACGGGUAGCCGGCCUUAGAGGGUGACCGGCCACAUUGGUACUGAGAUACGGCCCAGACUCCUACGGGAGGCAGCAGUGGGGAAUAUUGCACAAUGGGCGGAAGCCUGAUGCAGCAACGCCGCGUGCGGGAUGACGGCCUUCGGGUUGUAAACCGCUUUCGCCUGUGACGAAGCGUGAGUGACGGUAAUGGGUAAAGAAGCACCGGCUAACUACGUG
Molecule: ribosomal RNA, 468 nt
Filed under: uncultured bacterium
Lineage: Bacteria
Description: partial 16S ribosomal RNA
Rfam family: Bacterial small subunit ribosomal RNA
Source: RNAcentral